ACGGCCCUGCACCCAGGACGAGUCAAAAGAUGUUGGUUUAGGCCAUCACUGCUGGUCAGGCAGACUAGCCUUGGCUCUGAUGACCUUUUAGGGACCUCAUGCUUCUUUUGGGAUGGUGCAUAGGUGUCCCUGCCUGAUGGAACCCUCCAGCACCACAGGCAUGUGUGAGAGUUGUCAGAGGGGGCAGCAGGCUGAUGGAUGGCCACACCAGCUGCUCACACAGCGGUAGCGCUGACUUCCUGCCCCUGGGGUAGGCCAGAAUUCAAUGAGGCUUGGAGAGAAAAUCUGCCAGAAUGGCUUCCCUUGCCCUUUUAUGGGAUGAUGAGGCCAGUUUUGCAACUACAAAGGGCCCAGAGUUUCCCUUGUGAAUGAGCUCAGCAUCCUCACGUUUCCAAGAGGAAUCAACACUGCAAUUCCUCGGACCACGGUGGCUCUCUUCCCAGCACACCUUUGCUGUGACCUGCACCCCUGCAUUGUCCUCAAAGACACACUAAGAAAACACAUUUCAGAAGGAAGGACGUAACGGAGCUCAUGAUCCAGUUCUGCAUUUGGCGUGGCCCCAAAGACACUGUGUGCAGAGUCAGAAAUAUGCUCCCCAGUUGGACUCCAUGGGAUACUGUUUCAAAAGAGCUAUCAUUCUUGUCUGUUUACCACAUAUCUUGUUCUAAUAGGCUCUUCUUUUCCAGAGUUUUUUAUUUUCCCUGGCAUUUUGUGUUUUGGUAAUUGCCUACAAGAAUAGUUCUAUAACAGAAAUCAACAAUGAAAACCAAAUUACCCCUGCCCACAUCCUUUCAUUCCUUUUUCAUCUCUAAUGAUAUUUUCUGUAUGAUGACUAACCCAGACUGACGUAAUUUAUCAAUUGAUCUUGACGAUGUACAUUAGAAAAUGCAUUCUGCAGGCCCCAGCAGGCCAUCUUCCAUGUGCGCCACGUAGCUUUAGAAAACCUAUUAGUGCAACAGAAAUAUCUAAAGCCCAGCCUUUUUGCUAAGAAUAUUAGAACUGGUGCUAAUUACUUUAUUAAUCAUAAAGUGAAACAGCCGUGCUAUGUCACCACAGCCGUAAAAUAAGUGGUUUUAUGGCAAAAGUAGUUAAAGAGAAAGGACAGAUUGGAUUUAUAUACUCAGCUGGUUAAAAAAAAGAAAUUAUGCAUACCAGCAAUUUUCUUUCUUUGGUUAAAUGUUCAUUAAAUGUGUACCACUAAAAACCAUUUGUAACUAAUUCCCUAGUGGGUCCAUGCCUUAAAAUAAUUUAUUUUAAAAUACAAAUUAAGGCUUAAAUUUGCCUUUUUAUUAAAAAUAGGUAUAAUGAGUCAACAUAUCUCCUAAGAGAAAGGAGCGUUGCAGACAUGCUGAUGAGAGGAAUCUUGUCGCCAAAACCUGGAGGCCAUGCUGGUGUUGGGGACUUAGGCUAUCCUGCAGGUGCCUGUCACCAUUAAGGGCGGCAGAAUUCAGAGGCUUUGGUCCAGGUUAAAGCACAGAGGUGGCCACUGUCUGAAGACAGGGACACCACAAUGACCAUCAUUGAGGGCGAUGUUUAUGCUUCCAUUGUUAGUUUAGAUAUUUUGUUUUCUUUAAAGUCAGUAUUGUCUCUGAGUAAAUAAAAACAAUCUCCAGUUUCUG
This 1619-nucleotide long non-coding RNA is filed under the name Homo sapiens (human). Its description in RNAcentral is "HSALNT0345944". The record is from RNAcentral. Lineage: Eukaryota; Metazoa; Chordata; Mammalia; Primates; Hominidae.